Molecule: ribosomal RNA, 1620 nt
Filed under: Staphylococcus aureus
Lineage: Bacteria; Bacillati; Bacillota; Bacilli; Caryophanales; Staphylococcaceae
Description: partial 23S ribosomal RNA
Rfam family: Bacterial large subunit ribosomal RNA
Source: RNAcentral
GCGAAAGACGGGUGAGAAUCCCGUCCACCGAUUGACUAAGGUUUCCAGAGGAAGGCUCGUCCGCUCUGGGUUAGUCGGGUCCUAAGCUGAGGCCGACAGGCGUAGGCGAUGGAUAACAGGUUGAUAUUCCUGUACCACCUAUAAUCGUUUUAAUCGAUGGGGGGACGCAGUAGGAUAGGCGAAGCGUGCGAUUGGAUUGCACGUCUAAGCAGUAAGGCUGAGUAUUAGGCAAAUCCGGUACUCGUUAAGGCUGAGCUGUGAUGGGGAGAAGACAUUGAGUCUUCGAGUCGUUGAUUUCACACUGCCGAGAAAAGCCUCUAGAUAGAAAAUAGGUGCCCGUACCGCAAACCGACACAGGUAGUCAAGAUGAGAAUUCUAAGGUGAGCGAGCGAACUCUCGUUAAGGAACUCGGCAAAAUGACCCCGUAACUUCGGGAGAAGGGGUGCUCUUUAGGGUUAACGCCCAGAAGAGCCGCAGUGAAUAGGCCCAAGCGACUGUUUAUCAAAAACACAGGUCUCUGCUAAACCGUAAGGUGAUGUAUAGGGGCUGACGCCUGCCCGGUGCUGGAAGGUUAAGAGGAGUGGUUAGCUUCUGCGAAGCUACGAAUCGAAGCCCCAGUAAACGGCGGCCGUAACUAUAACGGUCCUAAGGUAGCGAAAUUCCUUGUCGGGUAAGUUCCGACCCGCACGAAAGGCGUAACGAUUUGGGCACUGUCUCAACGAGAGACUCGGUGAAAUCAUAGUACCUGUGAAGAUGCAGGUUACCCGCGACAGGACGGAAAGACCCCGUGGAGCUUUACUGUAGCCUGAUAUUGAAAUUCGGCACAGCUUGUACAGGAUAGGUAGGAGCCUUUGAAACGUGAGCGCUAGCUUACGUGGAGGCGCUGGUGGGAUACUACCCUAGCUGUGUUGGCUUUCUAACCCGCACCACUUAUCGUGGUGGGAGACAGUGUCAGGCGGGCAGUUUGACUGGGGCGGUCGCCUCCUAAAAGGUAACGGAGGCGCUCAAAGGUUCCCUCAGAAUGGUUGGAAAUCAUUCAUAGAGUGUAAAGGCAUAAGGGAGCUUGACUGCGAGACCUACAAGUCGAGCAGGGUCGAAAGACGGACUUAGUGAUCCGGUGGUUCCGCAUGGAAGGGCCAUCGCUCAACGGAUAAAAGCUACCCCGGGGAUAACAGGCUUAUCUCCCCCAAGAGUUCACAUCGACGGGGAGGUUUGGCACCUCGAUGUCGGCUCAUCGCAUCCUGGGGCUGUAGUCGGUCCCAAGGGUUGGGCUGUUCGCCCAUUAAAGCGGUACGCGAGCUGGGUUCAGAACGUCGUGAGACAGUUCGGUCCCUAUCCGUCGUGGGCGUAGGAAAUUUGAGAGGAGCUGUCCUUAGUACGAGAGGACCGGGAUGGACAUACCUCUGGUGUACCAGUUGUCGUGCCAACGGCAUAGCUGGGUAGCUAUGUGUGGACGGGAUAAGUGCUGAAAGCAUCUAAGCAUGAAGCCCCCCUCAAGAUGAGAUUUCCCAACUUCGGUUAUAAGAUCCCUCAAAGAUGAUGAGGUUAAUAGGUUCGAGGUGGAAGCAUGGUGACAUGUGGAGCUGACGAAUACUAAUCGAUCGAAGACUUAAUCAAAUU